RNAcentral lists this long non-coding RNA (3833 nucleotides) under Hermetia illucens (black soldier fly). RNAcentral's name for it is "uncharacterized LOC119651067". The record is from RNAcentral. Lineage: Eukaryota; Metazoa; Arthropoda; Insecta; Diptera; Stratiomyidae.
AUUUACUGCUGAGUACAUAUAUACCAUGCAUAUAUUCACUAUAUACUCGUAUAAUUGAUUUUCAUAUAAAUUUUGAAAAGAUUAAGUUCGAAAGUGAGAUUUUUAGUUGGUUGACUAGUUGAUCAUGUAUAAGGCAAUGUGAAAGAAUUAAAUACGAAAAGGCUAAUUACACUUACUUCGACUGAAUAUUCAAUAUAUAUAUAUAUAUUUGUGGAGCUAAUUCGAAAGUGAAUGGCUGUCUCUCACCUACACCAGUACUUGUAUUUAAAAUUUUUACAAAAUCAAUUGUUGUGAUAAAAAUAUCAUUUUUUUCCAAUUUCAAUGUUAGACACAUCAAUUUAAUUUCUAAAAUGUACGUGAGGAAGAAGUUAAUAAAUAGAAGUAUAUCUCUACUUUCAUAUAAAUUUAAUGUAGGCAAAUUGAAAAGGCUUUCUUAUGACGUCACGUCAUUGUAAACGUUUACAUUUCUUUGUUCAUUGCUAAGCGUUUAUAAGAUAUAAUCAAACUUCAUUUCUAAUUUAGAAUAAUCAGGACUAACAGAAGCACUUUUUACACAAACGUUCUUUAACAAAUUUGUUAUUGUAUAUACGUCUUUAUUUUGACGUAGAUAUGUUUCAAUUUUUAUAACCUUUUGAAAAGCAGAUCUCUUAUAUACAUAUAUAUAACAUUAAAUUAGCACAAAAAUCUCGAAUUAACGUUUUUCGACCAAUUAACAUAAUAAAAUAUUCUAAUGUAAAUAAUACUCCUUAUGGUAUAUAAGACUAUCUAAGGUUGAAAUAUGAACGAAAAAACAAAAUUAAUUGCUUUUUUGAAAUCUAUUUUUACUGCUACUUGAAAGAAAUGUGUAUUAAUCAUUAAGGAAAACAUGAUGUUACUUUAAUUGGCAUUAUAUUUUCAUGAACAACUGCUAAAUUUUCAUAAUAACAAAAUAUGUUAGUGUGCAGAAUAAGUGAUCGACCGUGGAUUCCUUUCAGUGUAUGUCAACGUAAGCUUACAUAUAUUUAAAUUUGGAAAAGUUACAAUGAUAACAUCAGUAAAGUUUCUUUGGACUCGAAAAAAAAAACAAAAUGUUUCAAGGUAAAAUAAAGCACGCCGUUAAAAACUUACGUUCAAAGAGAAUUUUUAAGCCACAUGGUUUCCCCUAAGUGUAAAACAGUUGAAAGCACUUGACAAUUUUGAUGUGAAAUUUUCCAUGAUAUUGGUUUACAAUUUUGAAGUUAUAUGGCUAAUCUCUUGAGCUGGUAAAAAAGAAACAUAUAUAUAACUAUUCGGGCAAUACUUCCAUAGUCUUUCUAAAAACUAUACAAAAUUUUGAUUUUAGGAUAAAUAAAGCAUAUAGUAAAAGAAAAAAUAAGUCUUAAGUCGGCAUUCAAUCAAGUCGUUGUAACCGUUGAAAUUUGGAGAACCGGCCAUUGCCUUGUAUCUAAUGCAAAUACAGUAUUCAAAAUAAGUGACUACAAAACCUACGCACGAUGAAAUAGUCAUUCUCCUUCAUUUAUUCAAACUAACUUCAAACCCAAUAGCUCAAUUAAGAAAAACAGUAACAGUAUAUUAUAGAUACCCGACAGGAAAAUCGCUUUUUGGCAGUGAAAUUAAAAACAAGACAAUCCAUUCUAAUUUAUAUGUUCUAGUCACCUUUCUGAUUAAAUUGGAUUUGAUAGCUGUGUACGUAUUUUCAUUGGAAAAUAACAAUAGACUUUUCAAUGUGUUAGUAUAAAAAAUAUGAUCAGCAAACUUUAGUGUAAAAUAUUUAGAGAUCUAUUCGAUUACAUUCAGUACAGAAGAGUUGUAGUAGUUUUUCAGACGUUCGUAAAGAUACUUCCUAGGGGUCAGUGUACUUAGCGCAUACUAUUCCUUCUGAUGAACCUUUCAAGUCAACUUCAAAUAUUCAGUUAUCCUUUAAUAAAUGGCGUACUUUCUCAAAUAUCCAAUUUGAACGAGUUGACUCUUUCAAAAACAAAAGUGCAUUAUGCGAGUAGUAUUACCAAAAUGACAUAUUAUAUUUUAGAAAUUAUUAAAAAAAUGUGUGCGAUUCAUCAUAUCAUUCCCCUUUUUAGAAACAUAACAUAUUAACAAACACAUCUGAUAUUUUAUGAGAUUGAAAUGGUAUAUUCAGCUGUAAAUACCUUCACUCAAUAAAACGAUUUUUUUAAAUCAACAAAAUAUAAAAUGAAAGUGAUUCCAUGAUAAAGCAUUUACAAAUAAUUUAUAAAUAUCUGCCCACAUAUAUUAUUUGAUUAUCUUGCACUUUUAAAAGGCGUCACCAGCUUUGUCAUUUUGAAUAAUGAGUUCGAUACCACAGUAUCUAUACAAUAACUCAUUAUACAUAUUUUCAUCAUUAUAAACGGCGCAACAACUGGUGUCCGACCUAAGCUGGCCGACUUGCACAGAGAGAAAGUCCGAUCUGGUAGUGAUGAGCGUGGAGUGAAGUUCUAGACUUAUGAAACCAUCCAGCCUACCAUGAUAGCAAGGCAUAUCUUGUGGACGGUUCCCAGCAAAGUGAGAAUUCUAUAAUUACUGCAUUGGAUGAUAUCUCCCUAUUUAACCACUUCGGUUGGAAUUAUCUCGGCUGUCAGCGACGUAAGCCAACGAACUGCACGAAACGAAACUUGUACUUCUCGAGGUCAAAGGCUUGUCUGUUUUCUUAGGCUUCGUUUUUGUCUGUCAAGUCGCUUCUCUGCUCAGCGGAAUCAGCGUCAAGUCUUUGUACGUGGCUGUGUUCUUUAUGAUUAUUAAACUAUCCACUCUGCAACAUACUUCUAGUCGUUCUGACUUUUCUUGCAACUGUGGCGUAACCAUACCAACGAUAAAGUUCUUCAGGUGUUUGGCUGGUUGAGCCUUUAUUGAUUCUCACCUGAUUUUGAGAUGUUUUCGUUAUUUGAGCUAAGAGCACUAUGUCAAUGAGAUGGUAACAUUGAUCAAGACGAGGAGGUGGCGGUGUUCAAUUAACAUAUAGUUAAUUUGAGUGAAAGUACAAAAAAAGAAAUAUAUACGCCGGCUCAGACUACGCUUGACAACCGAGUAACUAUUCGCCUAAAUUGAAAUCCAAUUGUUUGACCUUCUGUAAGUAGACUAAAGGCCGGGUGGUUCUUAUCCUUGAUAUAAAGAGAAAUUCGUUUCUGUUAUGCUAUGUUAUGUUUUGAUAAUUUCUACCUUAUUGCCAAAUAAUAAUUAGUCUUGAAAUUAAUUUAACAAUACACUCUUAUGGUAGCGAUAGACAGGCAAGGUUAACCAUUCAACUGGUUACUCUAUUGAAUGGUUUGGUGAAUGGCGGCACCGCCUCUCCCAAACGAAUAGCAUUAAGUGCAUUGCAUGCAUAACAUGAUUUUUCAUACAUCGUUUUCUUAGAUUAUCGUCUGGUGUUAGUAUGCCCUAAACGGGCGUAGAUAGCGAUCGAGAGAUUUCAUGUCCAUUUUUCUUUUCUCUGCUAUAUGUAUGCCUGAUGUAACCGACUUGCUUCACCUUGUUGAAUACUUUUGCCAAUGUAGGUACCGAAUAAGUAACAUUAUGCUCUUUACAGCAAGCUUACCGAAAAUUUCUUACAGGGGGAACAUUGCUAUGCGCAUCUUCCACUUGCAUUAUUGCGCCAUUUGAAUACGCUAUAAAUGAGCGCAGAUAUCAAUAAGAAGAGCCCAUCUUUCAUUUUUCCUUUUCUAAAAUAUUUUUGUAUGUACGCCUUUAUAAUACUGAUGAAAUGCACUUACUUUUGUUUUUGAUCAUGACAUGCAAAGUGAUUCAUUGUAGUUAUAACAUCCCGUCAGAGUUAUCGUAAUGAGAACUAUUUGUGUACUAAAUCAGCAUAAAAAGUAACUUAUCGUACUCCAGUGAUAACG